CAUUAUGGGACUCUUUAAAAUUAGAAGUAUUUGCUUCUUAUAAAAAAUAAAUGUUUCCCCCUUUAAUUAGUUCUCAAAAGUACAAGAUAUGUAUUGAGACAUGGGCUUCAAUAAUCUGAUGGAGACAGAGGUGAGAUUAUGAAAGAUAAAGGAGAGAUCACUUUCCCUUUCAAAACAAUGUCUAAGACAAUAUUUUCUUCCCUGAAAAAUAAGCAUUAUUUCAUAUGAAUUCUUAAAGCAAUCUUCUACUUCAGUGGGAACUUUUGUUUGGGAAACUGAGGCUCAAGAGACUGGGCUGGCUGAGGUUACACAGGUUGGCAACCUGUAGAAAUAGACCUGGAGCUACAUUCUUCUUUCCAGAGGCUUUUGACCCACCUUGAAGGCACCCCCUUGCCAUAAAAGGAGCUAUAUUGUCCCUUGUAGACCUGCUUACAAGAUAGAAAAAAGACCUUGAGACAUGCUGAAAUCCAAUCUGAUUUUCACUGGAGAUUUGUAAGGCUGAUCCAACCUUUUACAAAGCGCCUCUUCUAGGGUUCAUUGCAGCCAUCAGUACAGAGAACUCUCAAUCCCCAGGGCAAUUUUACCUGUGCUCUGUCAGUUAGUCCUCUUUUCUGCCAGAUGCCAGCCACUAUUUCCUUCUCCCUUGCUCUGGGUCCCUUUGAUCCUGCUGCCACCAAUGAUGACUGUUGUAGCGCUGGUGCUCUCCACAGCCUCCCUCAUCGGUGGCCACUGAUCAUGCCCACACUGCAGCUGUGACUGCCCAAAGCAUCCAUCUCAAAGCUAUUAACCUACAGGAAGCUGAUUUUUCAGAAGGGCUUAGCCCUAUCUUCCAGAGCUCCAGGCGUUCCUCAUUGCCAAGGCUACCAGCACAGAGAUGCCACUUUGUACUCUUAACAUGUGUACCCUUAAUAUCCAGGCAGAUUUUAGUGAAUCCCCUCUGUUUCUGUUAUUUUUAUUUAUACACCAUGCUUUUGGCCAAAGACUCUUAGAAGCGGGUAAAAUAUCUGAGUGGCAGACAUAGUGUGGUUCUCACAGUAUCUUCUUCCUUUCCAAUAUCAGUCUGUAUCUUGAGUCCUUAUUUAUUACUUAAGAUGAGUCUCUCCUAGGAUUCCUCUUCACUCAGCCAUAAAGGACUCAUCUCUGUUAUCCUGCACAGGUAUCUGGGUUUGCUGAAGCUGAAUUGUAAACAACAUCAUUGUUGAUAAGUUUGUGUGUGUGUUUGUGUGUGUGUGUGUUCUCACAAGGUUAAUUACUCUUCAUAUUUCUAUUAGAGCAGUGAGUAACAUUCCUAAUAUGCAUAUCUCCUAUAUUUUUUAAUAAUAAUAGUGGCUAACAUUUAUUUAUCCCCAUAUCCAUCAUUUCACUUAACACCGUCAGUAACCCGAGAGGGGAGGUGCCCUUGUUUCAUUUUACAGAUGGAGAAAACUGGCACGCUAUGAGAUUAAACACCUACCCAAGAUCACUUAGACUGCGAGUACCAGCAGUGAGUUUCUACUCCAGCUCUCUCUCCAAAACUUAAGAUUUAGAUCUCUUUCAUAAGUUGCAGAGUGUGAUUUAUUAUGGAUUAUGAAAAGUGUCCAUUACAGGCUCUUCCUGGGCCUGGAAGGGCUACCACCAUUCUUCAUUGGCUGAUGCUCCCAUGUGGCUCAGGGCUCCAGUUGCCUGCUCCAGGGAGCCUUCAAUGACUAUCCUUUAAUGCUCCCACCCACUCCUCAUGUGCAAAGGGUUUAAGCUUAUGAAACACCAAAGCCAAGAAUAAAGUUCUUUGACUGGAAUUUCUCCUUUCCUGUAACACCACCUACAAGAAACUUUUAAUUUGUGUGGGUUAAAGAAGCAUCUUUGAUGAAGUGGAAAAGAGACAGUAUAAUAAAGUUACAAAACACAGUGCAACUGCCACAGCUCAGAGAAAAACACCAGAUUGGGAAUCAGGAGACUGGCCCUGGGAGUAUGGAGGCCUUUGGAACUCGCUAGCAGGAGGAAUUUGGAAAGAUUUGGAGAUGCUGGCUGGAGAAGCAUCCCUGAAUACUGUAAGCUGAAUUUGGUGGGACAUUCUGGUUAGUGCUCAGAAGACCAGCAUGCUGACAGAAAUACAGCUGGUAAAGACCAGGAUCAGGAGGUUUCAGUUGGGAACAAGGAGUGCAUUGGCAGUUGGACUCUAGGCCAUGUGUGUUAUGCUUUGGCAGAAAAUGUGCCUACAUUUUGCUCGUGUCGUGAGACUUUGCCAGAGACUGAGAUUAAGCAUGGCUGACUAAUUAAUCUGGUGGAGGAAAUGUCAAGGCAGCCAAACACUCAGGCUGUAACUUGGGUACUAUUGGGGAUUUUAGCCAGCUCUAACUUGAGAAUCAAGAGCUAAAAGCACAGCUGAAUGAUUUUAAAAGUUUUGAGUUGGGCCAGAAAGGAAGCUCCUAUAAAGAUGGAGCCUGCAAAGAUGAAGUAGAUAAAAGCUUGAUUGCUAAAAAGAUUAGCAUUAAAAGAACCCAUGAAGGGGAAGUGAGAGGGGUAGGGGAAAGGAAA
Non-coding RNA from Heterocephalus glaber (naked mole-rat), 2514 nucleotides. Lineage: Eukaryota; Metazoa; Chordata; Mammalia; Rodentia; Bathyergidae. The record is from RefSeq and is a predicted model, not a curated record.